CCUACGGGAGGCAGCAGUGAGGAAUAUUGGUCAAUGGACGAGAGUCUGAACCAGCCAAGUAGCGUGAAGGAUGACUGCCCUAUGGGUUGUAAACUUCUUUUAUAUGGGAAUAAAAUGUUCCACGUGUGGGAUUUUGUAUGUAUCAUAUGAAUAAGGAUCGGCUAACUCCGUGCCAGCAGCCGCGGUAAUACGGAGGAUUCGAGCGUUAUCCGGAUUUAUUGGGUUUAAAGGGAGCGUAGGUGGAUUGUUAAGUCAGUUGUGAAAGUUUGCGGCUCAACCGUAAAAUUGCAGUUGAAACUGGCAGUCUAGAGUACAGUAGAGGUAGGCGGAAUUCGUGGUGUAGCGGUGAAAUGCUUAGAUAUCACGAAGAACUCCGAUUGCGAAGGCAGCUCACUGGACUGCAACUGACACUGAGGCUCGAAAGUGUGGGUAUCAAACAGGAUUAGAUACCCUGGUAGUC
RNAcentral lists this ribosomal RNA (460 nucleotides) under uncultured bacterium. RNAcentral's name for it is "partial 16S ribosomal RNA". It matches the Rfam family "Bacterial small subunit ribosomal RNA", at positions 338 to 795 of the family's 1533-position model. The record is from RNAcentral.